Molecule: ribosomal RNA, 382 nt
Filed under: uncultured eukaryote
Lineage: Eukaryota
Description: partial 18S ribosomal RNA
Rfam family: Eukaryotic small subunit ribosomal RNA
Source: RNAcentral
CAAUAGCGUAUAUUAAAGUUGUUGCAGUUAAAAAGCUCGUAGUUGGAUUUCUGGUUGAAGCGACCGGUCGGGCGUUGAUUCGUCUGCACUGGAGUCGGUUUUGGCCAUCCUCUAGGAAAGUGCGUCUGGUAUUAAGUUAUCGGGCGUAUGAUCCUGGUCUUUUACUGUGAAAAAAUUAGAGUGUUUAAAGCAGGCCUUCGCCUUGAAUACAUUAGCAUGGAAUAAUAAGAUAGGACUUUGGUCUAUUUUGUUGGUUUGCAGACCGAAGUAAUGAUUAAUAGGGAUAGUUGGGGGUAUUUAUAUUCCGAUGUCAGAGGUGAAAUUCUUGGAUUUACGCAAGACAAACAGCUGCGAAAGCGUCUGCCAAGGAUGUUUUCAUUAA